AUGAACGCUGGCGGUGUGCCUAAUACAUGCAAGUCGAGCGAACAGACGAGGAGCUUACUCCUCUGACGUUAGCGGCGGACGGGUGAGUAACACGUGGAUAACCUACCUAUAAGACUGGGAUAACUUCGGGAAACCGGAGCUAAUACCGGAUAACAUGUUGAACCGCAUGGUUCAACAGUGAAAGACGGUCUUGCUGUCACUUAUAGAUGGAUCCGCGUCGCAUUAGCUAGUUGGUAAGGUAACGGCUUACCAGGGCAACGAUGCGUAGCCGACCUGAGAGGGUGAUCGGCCACACUGGAACUGAGACACGGUCCAGACUCCUACGGGAGGCAGCAGUAGGGAAUCUUCCGCAAUGGGCGAAAGCCUGACGGAGCAACGCCGCGUGAGUGAAGAAGGUCUUCGGAUCGUAAAACUCUGUUAUUAGGGAAGAACAAAUGUGUAAGUAACUAUGCACGUCUUGACGGUACCUAAUCAGAAAGCCACGGCUAACUACGUG
This 496-nucleotide ribosomal RNA is filed under the name uncultured bacterium. Its description in RNAcentral is "partial 16S ribosomal RNA". It matches the Rfam family "Bacterial small subunit ribosomal RNA", at positions 29 to 507 of the family's 1533-position model. The record is from RNAcentral.